RNAcentral lists this ribosomal RNA (253 nucleotides) under uncultured bacterium. RNAcentral describes it as "partial 16S ribosomal RNA". It matches the Rfam family "Bacterial small subunit ribosomal RNA", at positions 524 to 776 of the family's 1533-position model. The record is from RNAcentral.
UACGUAGGGUGCAAGCGUUAAUCGGAAUUACUGGGCGUAAAGCGUGCGCAGGCGGUCCGUUAAGUCAGAUGUGAAAGCCCCGGGCUUAACCUGGGAACUGCGUUUGAAACUGGGAGACUUGAGUGUGGCAGAGGGGGGUGGAAUUCCACGUGUAGCAGUGAAAUGCGUAGAUAUGUGGAGGAACACCGAUGGCGAAGGCAGCCCCCUGGGUUAACACUGACGCUCAUGCACGAAAGUGUGGGGAGCAAACAGG